RNAcentral lists this ribosomal RNA (825 nucleotides) under Triticum aestivum (bread wheat). Its description in RNAcentral is "partial small subunit ribosomal RNA". Lineage: Eukaryota; Viridiplantae; Streptophyta; Magnoliopsida; Poales; Poaceae. The record is from RNAcentral.
AUGUCGCCGGCGGCGGACAGCGCAUCGGGAUCGAAGCGGCAGGCGGAGCUGCUCAAGCAGGAGGGCAACACCUGCUUCAAGAAGGACCGCAUCAGCGCCGCCAUCGACGCCUACACCGGGGCUAUAGCUCUCUGCCAAAAUGUUGCAGUAUACUGGACCAACCGAGCACUGUGCUAUAAGAAGCGGAAUGAGUGGGCUAAGGUUGAGGAAGAUUGUAGAAUGGCUAUCCAUUAUGACAGCCACUCCGUUAAGGCGCAUUACAUGCUUGGGCUUGCACUUCUCAACAGGCAGGAAUUGGCUGGAGGAAUAAAAGCACUAGAAAAGUCUUUGGAGCUUGGAAGGGGUGCACAUCCUGCAAGCUAUAUGGUUGAAGAGAUAUGGCAAGAGCUUUCUAAAGCAAAAUACAUUGAAUGGGAAGGCCUAUCAAAAAUGCGAUCCUCUCAAUUGCAUAAACUGAAUGCAACAUGUAAAGAAGCUCUAAAGAGCUAUAAUAGCCUUGAUAAUCCAACUGGAGACAUGUCUGAAGAGCAUCUAAAUGAGCUAGACGAAGUUUUCAGGAAAGCUGCAAAGGCCGAUACUCCAACAGAAGUUCCUGACCAUCUCUGCUGCAAGAUUACACUUGAUAUCUUCAGGGAUCCAGUGAUCACUCCAAGCGGAAUUACUUAUGAGAGGGCUGUGAUUCUUGACCAUUUAAACAGGGUUGGGAAAUUUGACCCUGUGACCCGUGAACCACUGGAACCAUUCCAACUAAUAUCAAACCUCGCCGUCAAGGAGGCUGUAGAUGUAUUUUUGAAGGAACAUGGUUGGGCUUACAAGAUCAGGUGA